UUUUAUUUGAGAGUUUGAUCCUGGCUCAGGAUGAACGCUGGCGGCGUGCCUAACACAUGCAAGUUGAGCGAUUUACUUCGGUAAAGAGCGGCGGACGGGUGAGUAACGCGUGGGUAACCUACCCUGUACACACGGAUAACAUACCGAAAGGUAUGCUAAUACGGGAUAAUAUAUUUGAGAGGCAUCUCUUAAAUAUCAAAGGUGAGCCAGUACAGGAUGGACCCGCGUCUGAUUAGUUAGUUGGUAAGGUAACGGCUUACCAAGGCGACGAUCAGUAGCCGACCUGAGAGGGUGAUCGGCCACAUUGGAACUGAGACA
This 318-nucleotide ribosomal RNA is filed under the name Clostridioides difficile. RNAcentral describes it as "bacterial SSU rRNA". It matches the Rfam family "Bacterial small subunit ribosomal RNA", at positions 1 to 326 of the family's 1533-position model. Lineage: Bacteria; Bacillati; Bacillota; Clostridia; Peptostreptococcales; Peptostreptococcaceae. The record is from RNAcentral.